This 2212-nucleotide long non-coding RNA is filed under the name Centruroides sculpturatus (bark scorpion). RNAcentral's name for it is "uncharacterized LOC111634708". The record is from RNAcentral. Lineage: Eukaryota; Metazoa; Arthropoda; Arachnida; Scorpiones; Buthidae.
CAUCACCAAGGAGACGACGUUUCCAUGACAACGACAAUGGAAACAGUACAAGGUACCGUGUUCGAGUGAGCCAUCGACUCCACCCUACAUCAUACACUAUAACUCAAGUUUCGAAUCUUUGUCAAACUAUGAAACAAGAAUUUUUACUUUAAACUUUCAUAAAGACGACUGUAACAAUUGGAUAGGAUGACAUUUAUCUGAUUUAAAAACUGAACCGUGUCGCACGGUAAACAACACCUACAACUAAUGACAAGCAAUUUACGAUAUUCUAAUUUACACGAAAUUUGAAGCUCUCCAUUGACUUAUUUUCUAUUGAAUAACGUUAUUUUUAUUAUAAAAACGAACGUAAACACGAUUUUAUGAUAAUUUUUUAAUUAUUAUUAUUAUUAUUUAAUUUUUCUCUUGACAAAUAUCAUACACAAACCUCAAACGUCAUCAUUAGUAUCAUGAAGAAUACCUAAGGGCAUAAUAAUGUCGUGUUGUCGAUUGAUGUCACGAUGUAUCGUUUAAACGAUGUGGUAUACUAAAAUUAGAAACAAAACCGUAAACUGGACAAUAGAACCUGCUAGUGUAUUGGAACGAUAUUCUCCGAAAGAGGACUUAAAAAAUUCUUCUGUACUAAAAAAAACAUGUGAAAAUAUAUAUAUAUAUAUAUAUAAAUUUUAUUUAAAUAAACUUAAAAAUAUUUUACGAAUGCGACACGUGAGUGAUGACGCAUCGAUUGGAUGAUCGGAGUGGAGAUGGGUGUAACAAAAAAAUCCCCUUUUGUUCAGUUUAAAGAAGUGUGCGAAUAGGAUUGUCGGAUUCGUUACUCGGUGCAGAUUUAGACGGGUGAAACAAAACACACCCCGCAAAACAAAAGUACGAGAAUCGUGAGAGAUGUAUUAAGUAUAAAAUGUCUUCCUGUUGGCUAAACAAGUCAAGAAAGUAUGAGGAAUUAAAAAUGUUCACCCUUUACAGAUGGAAGGAAAACAGAUUUUACGUCAUCAAGGUCAAAACUCCUACGUCACCGAAUGACCAUCAUCGAAACCCGCAUCGGAGGAACUUAACGUCUUUUACAAUGGCGGGUAACUCGUCGCACCUGUGCGAACACGUUUCGUGUUUAUCAAUGAUAGUCAACUAUAAGAAGUAGAGGAAGUUUGAUCAGCUAGCAUCCUGUUACGAAAACGCGUUAUUUUCCCUACUUCUCAGUAAGAGGUAAAGGAAUUAGGUAAAAGAAAAAGAAAAUAAAAUAAAAAUAAAAUUCCUUCGCAUUUUUCAAUCUCCACUUCUUUCUUUAAUUAUAUUUCCUUAAAACGAAAGUAUUUAAAAUAUUUCACACAGUAAAUAAUAUUAAUAAUUUAAUUUUAUAUUUCCUUUUUUCGGUUAUACAUUUUUUAAAACGACAUUUAAAUUUAUCAUCGGUAAUUUUUCUGUAUCUAUUGCAUUGAUAGCUGAUCUACAGAUAAUCUAACUUUUCAAUGUCGUCAUGAUAUUUUUACCUUUUGGACUCAUAUGUGUGUCAUGUACAUCUACUCACGACACACAUUUGAAAUGAAAUUGGGAACACAAUCAUUACACAAUUUGUGUAGCCAGUGAUAAUCUAAACAUCUAAUGAAGCAAUUGCUCUACAGUAGAUAUGCAGGUCUAUAAAUGACUUAACAUGUUCACCUAUUAAAUAAUCAAUUUGUUGGCUACUAAAUAUUUUUCUAUUGUUAGCCACAUUUAUUUUUCCUCCUAGGAUACUAAGCACUCAUUUCAAGAUUUUAUAAUACAGUAUUUCGUAAGUAGAGUGGCUUAUAUAAUAAUAACAAUAAUAAUAAUAAUAAUUUUUUUUUUUAAUUUGAAGGAUGCGAGAAUUUUGAGACAAGAUAAAAGACACUUAUUAUUUAAGAGUGAGCUAUUUGGAAUUAAUUACAGCGUUGGGAAUAUAACUCCCUCAUCGAUUUCAAGUGGAUACCUACUCAAAUUUCAUCAGAAAAGAAGUUUUGUCUGCUUGCAAAAGUUUACAAUGACAUCAACAAAUCCUGUGUAAUCAUUUUGGAGCUAUCCCGGUAAACAGAUUCAGAACACCACGUUCUCCUUUGACCCCGUUUGAUAAGGAAUAAAGAAUAACCCUAAAAAUGGUUAAAAUCUUAACCUUAAUAGUAAAAUUUUAAAAUACAUAAAACAUCCCAAGAAACCAUAAAAAAAAAGAGAGAGAGAGAGAGAGAAACAUAACGCUUAAACACCG